This 373-nucleotide ribosomal RNA is filed under the name uncultured organism. RNAcentral's name for it is "partial 16S ribosomal RNA". It matches the Rfam family "Bacterial small subunit ribosomal RNA", at positions 527 to 896 of the family's 1533-position model. The record is from RNAcentral.
GUAGGUGGCAAGCGUUGUCCGGAAUUAUUGGGCGUAAAGCGCGCGCAGGCGGUUCUUUAAGUCUGAUGUGAAAGCCCACGGCUCAACCGUGGAGGGUCAUUGGAAACUGGAGAACUUGAGUACAGAAGAGGAAAGCGGAAUUCCACGUGUAGCGGUGAAAUGCGUAGAGAUGUGGAGGAACACCAGUGGCGAAGGCGGCUUUCUGGUCUGUAACUGACGCUGAGGCGCGAAGGCGUGGGGAGCAAACAGGGAUUAGAUACCCUGGUAGUCCACGCCGUAAACGAUGAGUGCUAAGUGUUAGGGGGUUUCCCGCCCCUUAGUGCUGCAGCUAACGCAUUAAGCACUCCGCCUGGGGAGUACGGCCGCAAGGCUG